AACGAACGCUGGCGGCGUGGAUAAGACAUGCAAGUCGAACGAGACUUUUCGUUGUAGCAAUACGAUGGAAAGUUUAGUGGCGAACGGGUGCUUAACACGUGGGCAACCUGCCAUGAAGUGGGGGAUAGCUCGCCGAAAGGCGAAUUAAUACCGCAUGUGAUUAGAGAGGACAUCCUUUCGAAAUUAAAGUCGGGGCAACCUGACGCUUCUUGUGGGGCCCGCGGCCUAUCAGCUAGUUGGUGAGGUAACGGCUCACCAAGGCUUUGACGGGUAGCUGGUCUGAGAGGACGACCAGCCACACUGGGACUGAGACACGGCCCAGACACCUACGGGUGGCAGCAGUCGAGAAUUUUUGACAAUGGGGGAAACCCUGAUCGAGCGACGCCGCGUGGAGGAUGAAGGUCUUCGGAUUGUAAACUCCUGUCAUUGGGGAACAAGGUGCAUACGUUAACUGCGUGUGUAUUGAUAGUACCCGAAGAGGAAGAGACGGCUAACUCUGUGC
This 502-nucleotide ribosomal RNA is filed under the name uncultured bacterium. RNAcentral's name for it is "bacterial SSU rRNA". It matches the Rfam family "Bacterial small subunit ribosomal RNA", at positions 29 to 508 of the family's 1533-position model. The record is from RNAcentral.